GUCGAGAAUAAUUCACAAUGGACGAAAGUCUGAUGGUGCAACGCCGCGUGGAGGAUGACGGUCUUCGGAUUGUAAACUCCUGUCAUCCGGGAGUAAGACCUGGCUGUGAAUAGCAGACAGGGUUGAUAGUACCGGAAGAGGAAGGGACGGCUAACUUCGUGCCAGCAGCCGCGGUAAUACGAAGGUCCCGAGCGUUGUUCGGAAUCACUGGGCGUAAAGGGAGCGUAGGCGGCGUGGUAAGUCAGAUGUGAAAUCCCGGGGCUCAACCCCGGAACUGCAUCGGAUACUGCCGUGCUAGAGGAUUGGAGAGGUAGCUGGAAUUCUUGGUGUAGCAGUGAAAUGCGUGGAGAUCAAGAGGAACACUCGUGGCGAAAGCGAGCUACUGGACAAUAUCUGACGCUGAGGCUCGAAGGCCAGGGUAGCGAAAGGGAUUAGAAACCCCGGUAGUCC
RNAcentral lists this ribosomal RNA (450 nucleotides) under uncultured bacterium. Its description in RNAcentral is "partial 16S ribosomal RNA". It matches the Rfam family "Bacterial small subunit ribosomal RNA", at positions 354 to 796 of the family's 1533-position model. The record is from RNAcentral.